UAGGAAGUUUUUGCAAUAACGUGAAUCCCGAUACGGUGAACGCUAAAGUCACGUUAUCCUUUUCUUAAUUAAGUUGAAAACACAAUCAA
Trachymyrmex septentrionalis is the source of this 89-nucleotide long non-coding RNA. RefSeq lists it as uncharacterized. The record is from RefSeq and is a predicted model, not a curated record. Lineage: Eukaryota; Metazoa; Arthropoda; Insecta; Hymenoptera; Formicidae. The transcript has 3 exons.